RNAcentral lists this long non-coding RNA (1698 nucleotides) under Olea europaea subsp. europaea. Lineage: Eukaryota; Viridiplantae; Streptophyta; Magnoliopsida; Lamiales; Oleaceae. The record is from RNAcentral.
GUGUUUCUGAGCACUGAUGUUACAGAUUCAACUUCACAUAUCAUAGAAAAAUAAAGAAGAAUUUUAGUUGUACAUAAUUAUUGUACGUAACGAUGUUCAUAAAUGUCCAAGCGUGAGAUUUGAAUUAAAUAUUGGAUCAUGUACACCUCGACUACGUACAAAUAGCACUUCUCACUAAUAAAAGCGUGCCCAUCGUCGUAGCCGGCCGUUGCCAUCCCUACGCAUCCUCACUUCCGGCCACUUUCGCCAUAGCAUUUCCCCACCCACCAUCUGUAUGUUUUCGGCCAUGGCCAUGAGAGCGGCAAAAUCCUGAUCUGCCUUUUUAUUAUAUCCCAGAUGUUCAGAAUUUUUCUGCCAUUUCUCUUCUUCUAUAGGAAUUUUAAUAAAUUUUGUAUACCUAUGGUCCUAUAGAUGCAUAUAAUUACAUAAAUUCUAAUCCAUCCACCUGAAAGCACCCAAUUUUACCAAUCGCAUCCUUCGAUUGGAUCGCCGGCGGAUAAUAAUGGAGAAUUCCGACGUCUUUGGAUCAUCGACGGCCACUCCGACUUGGCAGUACUUCCUCGAACGCAUGCGCCACCCCUCCGCAGCUGAUUUCGUCAAAGCCAUCAAAAGGUAAUUAUUGCUAUGGGUAACUUAUUAAUUAUUGCUAGUCAUUUGAUUCAUAGUAAAAAAUAACAGUCGAUGUUAAUGAACAACUUGUGGAUUUGAAUAAUUUAUUUUUAAUGAAUGUCCAAUAGCUAAUUUUGUUCAUGGUAUGAUGUAAUUAUACAUUAUUGCAACAAGAUAAUUAGAUGUGCUAAAUAUUUAGACCAAUUUCAGAUAUUUCUGAUGGUACAUAUGUCCAUCAUAACCUCGAUAUUGUGCAUUUUCAUUUAUGAUUAUUAUACUUUGUUCAAUAGUAACUUCAACUGUAAACACAUUCAGCAACUAUGCUGAAUCUUAAAAAAAAUUGGUUUUGAUUGUUUUUAUCAUUGAAUUGAAAUGAGCCCAAGAAAUUUAAAGCUUGACUGCUUCCAUUUACUCUUUUUUAACUUCUAUAAUAUAGGAUAACUGAAAUUUGUACUAUUGGUAGUUUAUGAUUCAUAGACUCUUAUCACCUUCCACAUGUCAUUCUUAUUUAUUUAUUUAUUUCAAUGCAUAAAUCACUUUGUUCACUUGCAAACUAUUACAAAAAAUUAUUUUGUGCAAAUCCCUCCAUUUAAGCUUGAAUUGAUUCUUGAACUGCUAUUAUUAAAAUCACCUUUUCUUUUGGUAUUUAUUAUGUAAUUAACUAACAAUUUAGGAAUUAGUGACUUCUAUAUAUUUUUUUGUUACUGGUAAAUACACCAAGUAUUUGAGUUGGAUUGUUUGCAGUUUUAUAGUGUCAUUUUUUAACAAUACACCGGAUGCGGAAAGGGACAGCACAGCUGUGCAGGAGUUCCUUGGGAAUAUGGAAGCGGCAUUUAGAUCACACUCCCUUUGGGCUGGAUGUUCGGAGGAGGAGUUAGAGAGUGCUGGUGAAGUGAGUUUCAGUAGUUUCCAAUUAUUGUUUAUUUCACACUCAUGAGCCACAAUAAGCAGACAAAAAUGAUAUUUGGAAUGGUAUGGAAAGGACAUUAUGAUGAUAAUCUUAGUGUUCCACCACUAACAUUUUGAUUUGCAUGAUAUUGUUUAAGUGCGAGUCCAAAAAGAUUAAAAAGAUUAAUAACCUAAUUAUAA